Molecule: ribosomal RNA, 436 nt
Filed under: uncultured bacterium
Lineage: Bacteria
Description: bacterial SSU rRNA
Rfam family: Bacterial small subunit ribosomal RNA
Source: RNAcentral
UAGAAGGCAGCAGUGGGGAAUAUUGCACAAUGGGCGCAAGCCUGAUGCAGCCAUGCCGCGUGUAUGAAAAAGGCCUUCGGGUUGUAAAGUACUUUCAGUCGUGAGGAAGGUGUUAAGGUUAAUAACCUUAGCAAUUGACGUUAGCGACAGAAGAAGCACCGGCUAACUCCGUGCCAGCAGCCGCGGUAAUACGGAGGGUGCGAGCGUUAAUCGGAAUUACUGGGCGUAAAGGGCACGCAGGCGGUUAAUUAAGUUGGAUGUGAAUCCCCGGGCUUAACCUGGGAAUGGCAUUCAAGACUGGUUAGCUAGAGUCUUGUAGAGGGGGUAGAAUUCCAUGUGUAGCGGUGAAAUGCGUAGAGAUGUGGAGGAAUACCGGUGGCGAAGGCGGCCCCUGGACAAAGGCUGACGCUCAUGUGCGAAAGCGUGGGGAGCAAAC